Non-coding RNA from Theobroma cacao (cacao), 393 nucleotides. NCBI's taxonomy places the organism in Eukaryota, Viridiplantae, Streptophyta, Magnoliopsida, Malvales, Malvaceae. The record is from RefSeq and is a predicted model, not a curated record.
AACAUAAACUCUCCCAUUCACUCUCUCAUUGCUGUUCAAGCCAAAGAACAAAGGGGGAAAGAAUAGAAAAACCCUAAGGAGGAAAAAUUCAAGUGAAAUUCAUUGGAUUUUCGAAAAACGAAGCGAUCAGAGGUGGUGAGCCCUCUAGUAAGGGUAAGGAUAUCGUACCCGAGGACCAAGAGUAGGAGUACUCCCGUUAUUAUGAGCUCAGGGCAGUUUGUAGAUCGCCAAUUUUGUCGAGAGUUUGCUUUUGGAUUCGUAUCCUUAGAAAUCGUGGGUUUACAGUCGUGUUUAUUUUUGUUAUUUUGGGGCUCACAUGUCAUUGUAAAAUAUUUGUGUUUACCUUGGCACUGUGUGCUAUUAUGUAUAUAAAUUUAUUUUGUUAUUACGCUA